AGAAGUUUAAACGGCAAUUGGAUAAAUACUUGCAAAAACAUAACAUACAGGGAUAUAAUUUCUAAUUAGUGGGGUAAUAGCUGCUUGAUCCAAGGGGACAUCUGACUGCUAUUUUGGGGUCAAGAAGUAAUUUUUUUCCUAGUUUGUUGCAAAAUUGGAAGCGCUUCAGACUGUGGUUUUUUGCCUUCUUUUGGAUCAAUAGCAAAAACAUAUGUGAGGAAGGCUGAACUUGAUGGACUGUAGUCUCUUUUCAGCUAUGUAACAUAUACACACAUAUAUACACAUA
This is a non-coding RNA of Pelobates cultripes (western spadefoot toad), 286 nucleotides long. Lineage: Eukaryota; Metazoa; Chordata; Amphibia; Anura; Pelobatidae. The record is from the annotation of a GenBank genome assembly.